This 254-nucleotide ribosomal RNA is filed under the name uncultured bacterium. Its description in RNAcentral is "partial 16S ribosomal RNA". It matches the Rfam family "Bacterial small subunit ribosomal RNA", at positions 524 to 776 of the family's 1533-position model. The record is from RNAcentral.
UACGGGGGGGGGCAAGCGUUGUUCGGAAUUACUGGGCGUAAAGGGCUCGUAGGUGGCCAACUAAGUCGGACGUGAAAUCCCUCGGCUUAACCGGGGAACUGCGUCCGAUACUGGAUGGCUUGAGUUUGGGAGAGGGAUGCGGAAUUCCAGGUGUAGCGGUGAAAUGCGUAGAUAUCUGGAGGAACACCGGUGGCGAAGGCGGCAUCCUGGACCAACACUGACACUGAGGAGCGAAAGCCAGGGGAGCAAACGGG